AUUGAACGCUGGCGGCAGGCCUAACACAUGCAAGUAGAACGAGUGGCGGACGGGUGAGUAAUGUCUGGGAAACUGCCUGAUGGAGGGGGAUAACUACUGGAAACGGUAGCUAAUACCGCAUACCAUCAGAUGUGCCCCGAUGGGAUUAGGUAGUUGGGGGGGUAACGUCUCCCCAAGGCGACGAUCCCUAGCUGGUCUGAGAGGAUGACUAGCCAGACUGGAACGUAGACACGGUCCAGACUCCGACGGGAGGAAGCAGUUGGGAAUAUUGCACAAUGGGCGCAAGCCUGAUGGAGCCAUGCCGCGUGUAUGAAGAAGGCCUUCGGGUUGUAAAGUACUUUCAGCGGUGAGGCGUUACCCGCAGAAGAAGCACCGGCUAACUCCGUGCCAGCAGCCGCGGUAAUUC
This 406-nucleotide ribosomal RNA is filed under the name uncultured bacterium. Its description in RNAcentral is "partial 16S ribosomal RNA". It matches the Rfam family "Bacterial small subunit ribosomal RNA", at positions 30 to 526 of the family's 1533-position model. The record is from RNAcentral.